Long non-coding RNA from Pollicipes pollicipes, 258 nucleotides. RefSeq lists it as uncharacterized. The record is from RefSeq and is a predicted model, not a curated record. The transcript is spliced from 3 exons. Lineage: Eukaryota; Metazoa; Arthropoda; Thecostraca; Pollicipedomorpha; Pollicipedidae.
CGCGUCUGCGUUGGCUGCUGCGCGUUUGGGAAACCGGAGCAAUCAUGUUUUCUCCCAGCACUCUUCAGUCACAGGCUUCUCCAGAAUCACACUUUUCAAGUGCUCGAGAGAACAUGAGAAGAGCUAUGUAUAAAAAAGGAACCCCACCUUGGAGGGAGCUUCACAAACAGCGACUGCGGGAGCGACUGCGUGAGGGGCGCCACCGGCUGCUGAGCCGUCUGCGCGGGGUGGACGCCACCGACGCGGGCGGCCUGCCGG